UCGCCAGACUCCUACGGGAGGCAGCAGUGAGGAAUAUUGGUCAAUGGUCGGGAGACUGAACCAGCCAAGCCGCGUGAGGGAUGAAGGUACAGAGUCUCGUAAACCUCUUUUGUCAGGGAACAAAGGCGGGGACGUGUCCCCGGAUGAGUGUACCUGAAGAAAAAGCAUCGGCUAACUCCGUGCCAGCAGCCGCGGUAAUACGGAGGAUGCGAGCGUUAUCCGGAUUUAUUGGGUUUAAAGGGUGCGUAGGCGGACAGUCAAGUCAGCGGUAAAAAUGCGGUGCUCAACGCCGUACAGCCGUUGAAACUGGCAGUCUUGAGUGGGCGAGAAGUAUGCGGAAUGCGUGGUGUAGCGGUGAAAUGCAUAGAUAUCGCGCAGAACUCCGAUUGCGAAGGCAGCAUGCCGGCUCCACACUGACGCUGAGGCACGAAAGCGUGGGUAUCGAACAGGAUUAGAUACCCCAGUAU
Molecule: ribosomal RNA, 467 nt
Filed under: uncultured bacterium
Lineage: Bacteria
Description: bacterial SSU rRNA
Rfam family: Bacterial small subunit ribosomal RNA
Source: RNAcentral